This 1283-nucleotide long non-coding RNA is filed under the name Numida meleagris (helmeted guineafowl). Its description in RNAcentral is "lncRNA (ENSNMEG00000000183.1)". The record is from RNAcentral. Lineage: Eukaryota; Metazoa; Chordata; Aves; Galliformes; Numididae.
AUAAUCUAAUUUAUAGCCAGGAACAGAACAUAAAAGAAUUUUAAGGGUUUUCACUGAAGGCUUAAUGCUUGCUGUAAAACCUGUUUGCACUAAUGCUCCCACUCUGGUGAGGAUUUCACAGUCUGUUGCAGUUCAUCAGGUGAGCAGGGGAGCACAUGCAUGCAGGUGCAAAGCAUCAGCAACGCGCUCCUGCCCGACCUCCCCAGCUCUGCUCUUCCUGCUCAGGAGCAGCUGGGAAUGCUGCCCCAUCAGGGUCUGCCCGCAGCCCUGGGAAGAGGCUGCUGGCAUCCUCUCUGCUCUUAAGGCACCAGGGAUGGCUGUGUUGGGCUCUGGCUGCUUAAUAGGGUUUGUUCUGCUGUCCUAAAAAUAACCCACGUGGUAACACGUCAGAGGAAAGAAAACAGUAAGAAAACGAGUCUUUGUAGAAGAAAAGGAUGUUCCUGCUAGGCUUGUUAUAAGCAUCCAAAAUCGCAGCUGUUUGCAUGCCUUCGGGCUCAGUCAGCCUGGAGGUGCAGGCAGGAGAGCAGCAGGGUUCCCACACCGCUGCCAAUGGGGACAUGCUGAUGCCCAGCCUGGCACCUGGUUGUGGCAGCAGAGCUGGUGCAGGGCGAUGCCGGGCUCCUCACAGGCACAGCAGCACCUGCUGCAGAGCAGGAGCCCAGAUCUCCAUUCUGUUGCACCAUUUGGCCCCAGUCUGUGCCCGUGGAUGGCUGACUUAUUCUGCUCUCAGCAAGUUGUUCUGCACGAGUAUCUUUGGGCCGGAAUUUUCAAAGGAUCGAAAUCCCACCCAUGUUAGCCCAGCAUAAGCACUGCCAGGACCGACCCAUUUUCAGCUUCCAAGCAGUGUCAGACAGGAAGAAGAGGAAGGAUGGCAUGCUGUUCUGUGCUCUGUGCUGCUGUUCUGAGCUGCUGCUCUGCGCUGGUGCUGAAAAUGCUGCUCCAUUCUGUCUGCACAGAUCACUCAGAACAGUUGCACAUGGUACUUAUUGCUACGUUUUCACUGGAUGUAGCUGGUGAGAGAAAGCGAAGGACUCUUCUUUGGGAGGACAAUUGGAUGUGUGGGGUCCACCAGUGGUGUCCUUGUUCUCCCUGGGGCCAGGAGCUGUGCCUUGGGCACUGCAGCACCGGGGGAAGCCUGGAGCAGGUCCUACAUGGAGGUGUGAGCGGCUUCUAAGGACAAGCAUAUAUGCAGGGGUUGUUAUUCACUCGUAAGUUUGCUGCAUCCAGCUCAGCCCCCGAGUGACAAGAAUAAACUACCCUGCAAUUGUUCGUCCCUUUUUUAA